RNAcentral lists this ribosomal RNA (366 nucleotides) under Triticum aestivum (bread wheat). Its description in RNAcentral is "partial small subunit ribosomal RNA". The record is from RNAcentral. Lineage: Eukaryota; Viridiplantae; Streptophyta; Magnoliopsida; Poales; Poaceae.
AUGAUGGAGAAAUACAAAGUGCGAUUGUUUCUAAAAAAAGUGAAUGGACAGAAAAUGCUGUUCGCCCUUAGUUACAACUGGGUAAAAUUGCUUGCAUUCUUAAUUUUCUCUCACAAAAAAGCAAAUGCAUAUUUAGAAGAUCAAAAUGAAUUUUUUGCAAAUACCAUUAGUUGCCCAAUAUAUCAUUGGUGUUCGUUUUGUCACAACAUGGUUAGGAAUGCUUCUCUCUGGGCAUAUGAUUGCGGUUGUGUACUUGGUUGCCACAUUCGAGAUUUCACCUUGACCUUGGUGCCUGCUGCAUUCGAGGGGUCACCUUGGUGCAGGAAAGAGUUGAACUUUGUGUUUAGUAAUCGCACAAGAAAGUAA